GUACUGAUGAUGAUCAUCUGCUGCUGCACAGGCUGUAAAGUAUAACCCCUGCUGGACACGGCUCCGGAAGCUCCAGGGGGAGACCGAACUGGUAUCCCCCCUUCUUCAGGCGCGCCUCACACUCACUCACCAUUCACACAUAUCGCAGAGUUCUGGCUGGGACCGAUACCAGCAACCCCUGAAGCCGUGGGGCAGCGCUCUUACCACAGAGCCACAGAUCUCCUGUCUGAGCACCUGCUGGAACUGAUGUUGGACUGCUGACCUGUGUGUGAGCUGAUUCAAUAAAACAAGAAUAUAUGUCAGAUCUGAA
Molecule: non-coding RNA, 310 nt
Organism: Danio rerio (zebrafish)
Lineage: Eukaryota; Metazoa; Chordata; Actinopteri; Cypriniformes; Danionidae
Source: RefSeq, a predicted model, not a curated record